CCGCCCGUCGCUCCUACCGAU
Molecule: non-coding RNA, 21 nt
Filed under: Arabidopsis thaliana (thale cress)
Lineage: Eukaryota; Viridiplantae; Streptophyta; Magnoliopsida; Brassicales; Brassicaceae
Source: RNAcentral